RNAcentral lists this ribosomal RNA (670 nucleotides) under Corynebacterium sanguinis. Its description in RNAcentral is "partial 23S ribosomal RNA". It matches the Rfam family "Bacterial large subunit ribosomal RNA", at positions 1 to 625 of the family's 2925-position model. Lineage: Bacteria; Bacillati; Actinomycetota; Actinomycetes; Mycobacteriales; Corynebacteriaceae. The record is from RNAcentral.
GUGUUUUUUAGUAAGGGCGUACGGUGGAUGCCUUGGCAUGCUGAGCCGAUGAAGGACGUGUGAGGCUGCGUUAUGCCUCGGGGAGUUGCCAACUAAGCGUUGAUCCGAGGAUGUCCGAAUGGGGAAACCCAGCACCAGUUGUGUGGUGUUACCCGCAGGUGAAUUCAUAGCUUGUGUGGGGGUGUACGCGGGGAAGUGAAACAUCUCAGUACCCGCAGGAGAGGAAAAUAAUAAUGAUUCUGCUAGUAGCGGCGAGCGAACGUGGAUGAGGCUAAACCAUGUGCGUGUGAUACCUGGCAGGGGUUGCGUGUGUGGGGUUGUGGGAUGUGAUUGUUACCAGGGCUGUCGACUUGGUGCGUGUGUGUUGUGUGUUAGCGGAAGUCACUUGGGAUGGUGCGCCGUAGUGGGUGAGAGCCCCUGUACGUGAAAACAUGCAAUGUGUGCGUUGAUUGUGUCCCGAGUAGCAGCGGGCUCGUGGAAUCUGCUGUGAAUCUGCCGGGACCACCCGGUAAGCCUAAAUACUCAGUGUGACCGAUAGUGGAUAGUACCGUGAGGGAAUGGUGAAAAGUACCCCGGGAGGGGAGUGAAAUAGUUCCUGAAACCGUGCGCUUACAAUCCGUCAGAGCACCUCGUGUGUGUGAUGGCGUGCCUUUUGAAGAAUGAGCCUGCG